RNAcentral lists this RNase P RNA (371 nucleotides) under Kiritimatiellota bacterium B12222. RNAcentral's name for it is "RNase P RNA component class A". It matches the Rfam family "Bacterial RNase P class A". From Rfam's summary of the family: Ribonuclease P (RNase P) is a ubiquitous endoribonuclease, found in archaea, bacteria and eukarya as well as chloroplasts and mitochondria. Its best characterised activity is the generation of mature 5'-ends of tRNAs by cleaving the 5'-leader elements of precursor-tRNAs. The record is from RNAcentral. Lineage: Bacteria; Pseudomonadati; Kiritimatiellota.
CGAGUGGUGGUCAGUCGCUCCUUGUUUCGACAGGGGGAGGAAAGUCCGGACUCCGUAGAGCAGGAUGUCCUGUUGUUAAAGCAGGGAACCCCGUGUCAAUCGCGGGGGAUGGAAAGUGUCGCAGAAAGUAAACCGCCCUGAGCUUGUCUCAGGGUAAGGGUGAAAGGGUGGGGUAAGAGCCCACCGGGUCCUUAGCGAGAGCGGGAUCGCAUGACAAACCCCAUCCGGAGCAAGAUCACAUAGGGAACGGCACAGGUUGCUCGCCUGGCUUUCGUCUUCGGACGAGAACCGUUCCGGGUAGAUCGCACUAGAUACAUGACUGACCAGGGGCUUCGGUCCUGGACAGAAUCCGGCUUAUAGCCACUCAUUUU